This is a long non-coding RNA of Sphaeramia orbicularis (orbiculate cardinalfish), 160 nucleotides long. RefSeq lists it as uncharacterized. The record is from RefSeq and is a predicted model, not a curated record. The transcript has 3 exons. NCBI's taxonomy places the organism in Eukaryota, Metazoa, Chordata, Actinopteri, Kurtiformes, Apogonidae.
AUUGUUGGAGACAGUGUGGGCAUGAAUGUGCUAAUCCCUCUCAUAUUUUCUAGACAUGUACAAAAUUGAAGUCUUUCUGGGAAAAGCUUUUUGAAAUGAUUGAGGGCAUUAUGACUUUCGCAAUUCCUAAGGACCCCAAAUUUGUAACAUUUUUUUUGCU